RNAcentral lists this non-coding RNA (23 nucleotides) under Drosophila melanogaster (fruit fly). The record is from RNAcentral. RNAcentral also lists the same sequence under 3 other names. Lineage: Eukaryota; Metazoa; Arthropoda; Insecta; Diptera; Drosophilidae.
ACUAAAAUUGGAACGAUACAGAG